CAGCCGCCGCGGUAAUACGGAGGGGGCAAGCGUUAUCCGGAAUUAUUGGGCGUAAAGGGUACGUAGGUGGCCUUUUAUGCGUAGGGUAUAAGGCAAUGGCUCAACCAUUGUUCGCCCUAUGAACUGGAAGGCUUGAGUGCAGGAGAGGAAAGCGGAAUUCCUAGUGUAGCGGUGGAAUGCAUAGAUAUUAGGAGGAACAUCAGCGGCGAAGGCGGCUUUCUGGACUGCAACUGACACUGAGGUACGAAAGCGUGGGGAGCAAACAGGAUUAGAUACCCGCGUAGUCCCUGUCUCUUAUACA
RNAcentral lists this ribosomal RNA (301 nucleotides) under uncultured bacterium. RNAcentral describes it as "partial 16S ribosomal RNA". It matches the Rfam family "Bacterial small subunit ribosomal RNA", at positions 509 to 808 of the family's 1533-position model. The record is from RNAcentral.